GUGCUCACCUCAGCAGCACACACGCUAAAAUUGGAACGAUAUGAGGAAGAUGAGCACAGCCCCUGUGCAAGGACGACACACAAAUCCGUGACACGUUCCGUAUUAAG
RNAcentral lists this small nuclear RNA (107 nucleotides) under Buceros rhinoceros silvestris. Lineage: Eukaryota; Metazoa; Chordata; Aves; Bucerotiformes; Bucerotidae. The record is from RNAcentral.